GCAACAAAAAUUCAUGGAUCACUCCAGAAAAAGCUAGAUAAUGGGCAACAAAAAUCAAGGGAACCCUUGGUUAUUAUCUAGGAUCAUAAAGGACCACCCUUCCUACAUGCCCCGCAAAGAACUGUCGUAUUCGGAAUUAUGCCCACAAGAUCACUCAGACAUGAGACAACAUAAUGAACCUUCUAUUAUUCCAUGUGAUAUGAUCAAUCUAGACCAAAUGUUGGCAAAUUCCAUCAUGGCAAAAAGACAUAACUCAAACUCACCAUAAACUUUAAACUCGAUAGUUACAACACAUACUCUAAAAUCUAAGCAUCGUCUGUGCGUGUGUGUGGUUGGGAUGGGGUUGGAGGAGAUAAUUUGAACCACAAAAAACAAGACAGCCAAACAUACCUGCCAGCUAAAACCCGAUCCAUGUCUUGUAGCUCUGCUUCAAGGAAUCUACAGCCGCGCAUAUACUUUUCAUUUUGAUAGGAAUCAUUUUUACCUGCAUAGGACUUCAUAAUCAAAUCUGUAUUCUUAUUGCAACAGAGAUUUUCCACUGAAAUUUCAUAUGGAAUACAAUGAAUGUCUCCUAACUUACCAGUGCGCAAGAGAAAUGGCGAUAAUCCCAUUUUAUCACCUCUAUUAUCAUCACGAAAGUGUAGUCCAACCAAAAGACUGUAAUCCAUAAUUCUCUCAGCCUCCAAGAACUCACAAUCUCGAUCGAUUUGCCUGCCACCAUUUGGUUAACAAAAUUAGUGAUAAAUACAAGGAUGAAUUGACAUAAGGAGUUGCAAGGAGAGGAAAAAAAAUGUAAAACAGCUUACUUCAUAAGCUCCUCAAACCAAUUUCUUUGGAGACGAAACACAAAA
This 851-nucleotide long non-coding RNA is filed under the name Gossypium barbadense (sea-island cotton). RNAcentral's name for it is "long non-coding RNA (GBAR_LNC004053)". The record is from RNAcentral. Lineage: Eukaryota; Viridiplantae; Streptophyta; Magnoliopsida; Malvales; Malvaceae.